CUCUAUUUUUCUUUUUUUCCUUUUUUCUUUUUUUUUUUUCUAUGACCAUUAUUCUU
This 56-nucleotide non-coding RNA is filed under the name Paramoeba aestuarina. The record is from RNAcentral. Lineage: Eukaryota; Discosea; Flabellinia; Dactylopodida; Paramoebidae.